UGACUAGCUCAGUCGGUAGAGCAUGAGACUCCUAAUUUCAGGCUCAUGGGUUUGAGCCCCACAUUGGGCAAAA
RNAcentral lists this transfer RNA (73 nucleotides) under Podarcis lilfordi (Lilford's wall lizard). Its description in RNAcentral is "tRNA.Arg". The stretch from base 5 to 62 matches the Rfam family "tRNA", at positions 8 to 63 of the family's 71-position model. From Rfam's summary of the family: Transfer RNA (tRNA) molecules are approximately 80 nucleotides in length. Their secondary structure includes four short double-helical elements and three loops (D, anti-codon, and T loops). The record is from RNAcentral. Lineage: Eukaryota; Metazoa; Chordata; Lepidosauria; Squamata; Lacertidae.